UACGAAGGGGGCGAGCGUUGCUCGGAAUCACUGGGCGUAAAGCGCACGUAGGCGGCUUUUUAAGUCAGGGGUGAAAUCCUGGAGCUCAACUCCAGAACUGCCUUUGAUACUGAGAAGCUUGAGUCCGGGAGAGGUGAGUGGAACUGCGAGUGUAGAGGUGAAAUUCGUAGAUAUUCGCAAGAACACCAGUGGCGAAGGCGGCUCACUGGCCCGGUACUGACGCUGAGGUGCGAAAGCGUGGGGAGCAAACAGG
Molecule: ribosomal RNA, 253 nt
Filed under: uncultured bacterium
Lineage: Bacteria
Description: partial 16S ribosomal RNA
Rfam family: Bacterial small subunit ribosomal RNA
Source: RNAcentral